RNAcentral lists this ribosomal RNA (450 nucleotides) under uncultured bacterium. Its description in RNAcentral is "partial 16S ribosomal RNA". It matches the Rfam family "Bacterial small subunit ribosomal RNA", at positions 354 to 796 of the family's 1533-position model. The record is from RNAcentral.
GUGGGGAAUAUUGGACAAUGGGCGAAAGCCUGAUCCAGCCAUGCCGCGUGUGUGAAGAAGGUCUUCGGAUUGUAAAGCACUUUAAGUUGGGAGGAAGGGCAGUAAGUUAAUACCUUGCUGUUUUGACGUUACCGACAGAAUAAGCACCGGCUAACUUCGUGCCAGCAGCCGCGGUAAUACGAAGGGUGCAAGCGUUAAUCGGAAUUACUGGGCGUAAAGCGCGCGUAGGUGGUUUUGUAAGUUGGAGGUGAAAUCCCCGGGCUCAACCUGGGAACUGCCUCGAAAACUGGAUGACUAGAGUACGGUAGAGGGUAGUGGAAUUUCCUGUGUAGCGGUGAAAUGCGUAGAUAUAGGAAGGAACACCAGUGGCGAAGGCGACUACCUGGACUGAUACUGACACUGAGGUGCGAAAGCGUGGGGAGCAAACAGGAUUAGAAACCCGAGUAGUCC